GACCAGACUCCUACGGGAGGCAGCAGUGGGGAAUAUUGGGCAAUGGGCGCAAGCCUGACCCAGCAAUGCCGCGUGAAGGAAGAAGGCUUUCGGGUUGUAAACUUCUUUGACAGGGGAAGAGCAGAAGACGGUACCCUGAAAACAAGCCACGGCUAACUACGUGCCAGCAGCCGCGGUAAUACGUAGGUGGCAAGCGUUGUCCGGAUUUACUGGGUGUAAAGGGCGUGUAGCCGGGCUGACAAGUCAGAUGUGAAAUCCGGGGGCUCAACCCCCGAACUGCAUUUGAAACUGUUGGUCUUGAGUAUCGGAGAGGCAGGCGGAAUUCCUAGUGUAGCGGUGAAAUGCGUAGAUAUUAGGAGGAACACCAGUGGCGAAGGCGGCCUGCUGGACGACAACUGACGGUGAGGCGCGAAAGCGUGGGGAGCAAACAGGAUUAGAUACCCCUGUAAU
RNAcentral lists this ribosomal RNA (450 nucleotides) under uncultured bacterium. RNAcentral describes it as "bacterial SSU rRNA". It matches the Rfam family "Bacterial small subunit ribosomal RNA", at positions 329 to 794 of the family's 1533-position model. The record is from RNAcentral.